UACGUAGGGUGCGAGCGUUGUCCGGAAUUAUUGGGCGUAAAGGGCUCGUAGGCGGCCAACUAAGUCGGACGUGAAAUCCCUCAGCUUAACUGGGGAACUGCGUCCGAUACUGGAUGGCUUGGAUUUGGGAGAGGGAUGCGGAAUUCCAGGUGUAGCGGUGAAAUGCGUAGAUAUCUGGAGGAACACCGGUGGCGAAGGCGGCAUCCUGGACCAAUAUUGACGCUGAGGAGCGAAAGCUAGGGGAGCAAACGGG
This 253-nucleotide ribosomal RNA is filed under the name uncultured bacterium. RNAcentral describes it as "partial 16S ribosomal RNA". It matches the Rfam family "Bacterial small subunit ribosomal RNA", at positions 524 to 776 of the family's 1533-position model. The record is from RNAcentral.